GUCAGCCUGGUCAGCCUGGUAGUGGUGAUAUGUGUAACCCGGGUUAUUGCAGUGGAAAAAAAGCAUCUUCGGAGUAAUUGGUAACGUCUAGUGGAACUUGUGAAACAACACAUCGUCAUCGUACAAUCAACGUCACUCUCAUUUCAUCCAUUACAACGGAAGCUCAUCGAAACUGUGACAGCCGCCAACCUCUCUACCCCCCCCCCCCCCUCC
Strongylocentrotus purpuratus (purple sea urchin) is the source of this 213-nucleotide long non-coding RNA. RefSeq lists it as uncharacterized. The transcript is spliced from 2 exons. Lineage: Eukaryota; Metazoa; Echinodermata; Echinoidea; Camarodonta; Strongylocentrotidae. The record is from RefSeq and is a predicted model, not a curated record.